RNAcentral lists this ribosomal RNA (459 nucleotides) under uncultured bacterium. Its description in RNAcentral is "partial 16S ribosomal RNA". It matches the Rfam family "Bacterial small subunit ribosomal RNA", at positions 338 to 795 of the family's 1533-position model. The record is from RNAcentral.
CCUACGGGAUGCAGCAGUGAGGAAUAUUGGUCAAUGGGCGGGAGCCUGAACCAGCCAAGCCGCGUGAGGGAAGAAGGUACAGCGUAUCGUAAACCUCUUUUGUCAGGGAACAAAUGCGGGGCCUAGUCCCCGGAUGAGGGUACCUGAAGAAAAAACAUCGGCUAACUCCGUGCCAGCAGCCACGGUACUACGGAGGAUGCGAGCGUUAUCCGGAUUUAUUGGGUUGACGGGGUGCGCAGGAGGCAUGUUAAGUCAGCGGUAAAAGCCCGGGGGUCAAACCCGGCGAGCCGUUGAAGCUUGCGGGCUGGAGUUGGAGAGAAGUAAGCGGAAUGGGCGGUGUAGAGGGGAAAUGCUUAGAUAUCGCGCAGAACCCCGAUUGCGAAGGCAGCGUACCGGCUCCACACUGACGCUGAGGCACGAAAGCGUGGGUAUCGAACAGGAUUAGAUACCCGGGUAGUC